RNAcentral lists this ribosomal RNA (256 nucleotides) under uncultured bacterium. RNAcentral's name for it is "partial 16S ribosomal RNA". It matches the Rfam family "Bacterial small subunit ribosomal RNA", at positions 524 to 776 of the family's 1533-position model. The record is from RNAcentral.
GAAGGGGAGGGCAAGCGUUAUUCAUAAUAAUUGGGCGUAAAGGGCUUGUAGGUGGCUAUGGCAAAACCGUCUAGUAAACCACGCACAUCCGUGCGACUCGGGCGGCAUAAGUUCCAAGCUUGAGUCCGGGGGAGGGGUUCGGAACUCACGGUGUAGGGGUAAAAUCCAUUGACAUCGUUGGGGACCACCAUUUGGCGAAAGCAGUUCCCCAUUCCGGUACUGACGCUGAGAGGCUAAAGCUUGGGAAUCGAACGGG